GUCCCCAACUGACUGAGUUCUCUUUCCUAG
This 30-nucleotide non-coding RNA is filed under the name Cricetulus griseus (Chinese hamster). Lineage: Eukaryota; Metazoa; Chordata; Mammalia; Rodentia; Cricetidae. The record is from RNAcentral.